GUGCUCGCUUUGGCAGCACGUAUACUAAAACUGGAGCGACGCAGAGAUUAGCAUGGCCCCUGCACAAGGAUGACACACGAAUUGGUGAAGCAUUCAUAUUUUUU
Molecule: small nuclear RNA, 104 nt
Organism: Pipistrellus kuhlii (Kuhl's pipistrelle)
Lineage: Eukaryota; Metazoa; Chordata; Mammalia; Chiroptera; Vespertilionidae
Source: RefSeq, a predicted model, not a curated record